CCUACGGGUGGCAGCAGUGAGGAAUAUUGGUCAAUGGACGAGAGUCUGAACCAGCCACGUAGCGUGAAGGAUGACUGCCCUAUGGGUUGUAAACUUCUUUUAUAUGGGAAUAAAAUGUUCCACGUGUGGGAUUUUGUAUGUACCAUAUGAAUAAGGAUCGGCUAACUCCGUGCCAGCAGCCGCGGUAAUACGGAGGAUCCGAGCGUUAUCCGGAUUUAUUGGGUUUAAAGGUAGCGUAGGUGGAGUGUUAAGUCAGUUGUGAAAGUUUGCGGCUCAACCGUAAAAUUGCAGUUGAAACUGGCAGUCUUGAGUACAGUAGAGGUGGGCGGAAUUCGUGGUGUAGCGGUGAAAUGCUUAGAUAUCACGAAGAACUCCGAUUGCGAAGGCAGUUCACUGGACUGCAACUGACACUGAGGCUCGAAAGUGUGGGUAUCAAACAGGAUUAGAUACCCCUGUAGUC
Molecule: ribosomal RNA, 460 nt
Filed under: uncultured bacterium
Lineage: Bacteria
Description: partial 16S ribosomal RNA
Rfam family: Bacterial small subunit ribosomal RNA
Source: RNAcentral